GACGAACGCUGGCGGCGUGCUUAACACAUGCAAGUCGUACGGUAAGGCCCUUUCGGGGGUACACGAGUGGCGAACGGGUGAGUAACACGUGAGUAACCUGCCCACAACUUUGGGAUAACGCUAGGAAACUGGUGCUAAUACUGGAUAUGUGCUCCUGCUGCAUGGUGGGGGUUGGAAAGCUCCGGCGGUUGUGGAUGGACUCGCGGCCUAUCAGCUUGUUGGUGGGGUAGUGGCCUACCAAGGCGGCGACGGGUAGCCGGCCUGAGAGGGUGACCGGCCACAUUGGGACUGAGAUACGGCCCAGCCUCCUACGGGAGGCAGCAGUGGGGAAUAUUGCACAAUGGGCGCAAGCCUGAUGCAGCAACGCCGCGUGCGGGAUGACGGCCUUCGGGUUGUAAACCGCUUUCAGCAGGGACGAAGCUUUUUGUGACGGUACCUGCAGAAGAAGCACCGGCUAACUACGUG
RNAcentral lists this ribosomal RNA (465 nucleotides) under uncultured bacterium. RNAcentral describes it as "partial 16S ribosomal RNA". It matches the Rfam family "Bacterial small subunit ribosomal RNA", at positions 28 to 507 of the family's 1533-position model. The record is from RNAcentral.